UACGUAGGGUGCGAGCGUUGUCCGGAAUUACUGGGCGUAAAGAGCUCGUAGGUGGUUUGUCGCGUUGUUCGUGAAAACUCACAGCUUAACUGUGGGCGUGCGGGCGAUACGGGCAGACUGGAGUACUGCAGGGGAGACUGGAAUUCCUGGUGUAGCGGUGGAAUGCGCAGAUAUCGUGAGGAAGACCAGUGGCGAAGGCGGGUCUCUGGACAGUUCCUGACACUGAGGCACGAAGGCCAGGGGAGCAAACGGG
This 253-nucleotide ribosomal RNA is filed under the name uncultured bacterium. RNAcentral describes it as "partial 16S ribosomal RNA". It matches the Rfam family "Bacterial small subunit ribosomal RNA", at positions 524 to 776 of the family's 1533-position model. The record is from RNAcentral.